Molecule: transfer RNA, 62 nt
Filed under: Neotoma lepida (desert woodrat)
Lineage: Eukaryota; Metazoa; Chordata; Mammalia; Rodentia; Cricetidae
Rfam family: tRNA
About the family: Transfer RNA (tRNA) molecules are approximately 80 nucleotides in length. Their secondary structure includes four short double-helical elements and three loops (D, anti-codon, and T loops).
Source: Rfam by way of RNAcentral
UGUAGCUCAGUUGGUGUAGUGCCUGCCUAGCACACAGGAGGCCCUGGGUUUGAUCCCCAGCA